This 111-nucleotide ribosomal RNA is filed under the name Helianthus annuus (common sunflower). Lineage: Eukaryota; Viridiplantae; Streptophyta; Magnoliopsida; Asterales; Asteraceae. The record is from RNAcentral.
GCGUUUUGGCUUAGUUGUUUGUGGAGCACAUGAAAACUCCACAGUUAAGCUUGCUCAUGUGGGAGUAGUAUUGGGAUGGGUGACCUCUUGGGAAGUAUACACCGGAACAAC